GAAGGAACCAAGAUACUAGAGGAGUAGGGCUGGAGGAGUAAGAGGCAGUAUUUGCUCUGGGCUCUUUCUUGUAUAAGGUCAUAGAGUAUAGUCUUGGUAAUCUUUGCUCCUGUCCCUAUUCCCCAUCCUCUGUCACUCGUAGAGGGAGUGAAUUGAACUUAAUGAAUAUUAUAUUCAUCCAGCUUCUUCAAAAUGGCUGUCUGAAAAAACUCAGAAGGGGGUACAAAAAUUGAACUGCGCGUCUCUGAAAUUCUCACAUCAAAUUACUUUUAAAAUAACUAUGUUAAUGCCUCCCCUGGCACAGGAACUUUUGGAGCAGGAGUGGGACCUGCAGCUACUUCCAGGAGAAGGAAGUUAAUGAUGUGCUAUGGUAGCCAGUGGAAGCUGGGACUUCUACUCAGAUUAUUAGUGGUAGUAAGAAGGAUGAUGAUAAAUGAAGUAUAUUUGUUAGAUUUCAACAAGGCCCUAAUGACAAUAUGAACACACAGGAAGACAUCCUCUCUGAAACAAAGCCACUGGUGUAUGAAGGGUGAUCACUGAUUGACUACGCUUCUGGUCUGAUGGAGAUGGCUUCUUGUCGUCGUCUUUGGGAAGAUGGGUCUCAGCUUAUUUACUACUUCCUUAGAGAACCCUUCCUGGCCCCUUCAGUACACCAAAUUCUCCAAUUACAUGAAGGUAUGUUUUCUUCAUUGCACUUUUCGGCCAGAAAUUGACAUUGACUGUGUUUAUUUGACUGAUGUUUGCCUUCUCUAAUGGAUGGUAAGUACCAUAAAGUCACCGAUCAUGUCUAACGGUGCUCAUCACUACAUACUUUAAGGAUUU
This 822-nucleotide long non-coding RNA is filed under the name Callithrix jacchus (white-tufted-ear marmoset). Its description in RNAcentral is "lncRNA (ENSCJAG00000076584.1)". Lineage: Eukaryota; Metazoa; Chordata; Mammalia; Primates; Cebidae. The record is from RNAcentral.